This 275-nucleotide ribosomal RNA is filed under the name uncultured Longilinea sp. RNAcentral describes it as "partial 16S ribosomal RNA". It matches the Rfam family "Bacterial small subunit ribosomal RNA", at positions 1096 to 1378 of the family's 1533-position model. The record is from RNAcentral. Lineage: Bacteria; Bacillati; Chloroflexota; Anaerolineae; Anaerolineales; Anaerolineaceae.
GCGUCAACCCUCGUCGUGUGUUACAAGUGUCACUACGAGACCGCCGGUUUUAAGCCGGAGAAAGGUGAGGAUGAAGUCAAGUCAGCAUGGCCUUUAUAUCCUGGGCUACACACACGCUACAAUGGCUGGUACAAUUGGUCGCGAAACCGCGAGGUGGAGCCAAUCCUAAAAGCCAGCCUCAGUUCAGAUUGUAGGCUGCAACUCGCCUGCAUGAAGAUGGAGUUGCCAGUAAACGCAGGUCAGCAUUACUGCGUUGAAUACGUUCCCGGGGACUU